GAUGAAGAACGCAGCGAAAUGCGAUACGUAAUGUGAAUUGCAGAAUUCAGUGAAUCAUCGAGUCUUUGAACGCACAUUGCGCCCCCUGGUAUUCCGGGGGGCAUGCCUGUUCGAGCGUCAUUAUAACCACUCAAGCUUUCGCUUGGUAUUGGGGCUCGCGGUUCCGCGGCCCCUAAAAUCAGUGGCGGUGCCUGUCGGCUCUACGCGUAGUAAUACUCCUCGCGAUUGAGUCCGGUAGGUCUACUUGCCAGCAACCCCCAAUUUUUACAGGUUGACCUCGGAUCAGGUAGGGAUACCCGCUGAACUUAAGCAUAUCAAUAAGCGGAGGA
This 329-nucleotide unclassified non-coding RNA is filed under the name soil metagenome. Its description in RNAcentral is "partial contains 5.8S ribosomal RNA, internal transcribed spacer 2, and large subunit ribosomal RNA". The stretch from base 1 to 120 matches the Rfam family "5.8S ribosomal RNA", at positions 35 to 154 of the family's 154-position model. The record is from RNAcentral.